CGGGCCCGGGCUGCGGCGUCCGGCCUCGUCGGCAGAGCCGGCGGCAUGGACAGGCUCUUCGUGGAGGAGGUGGCCGCCUCGCUGGUCCGGGAGUUCCUCAGCAGGAAGGGCUUAAAGAAGACAUGUGUGACCAUGGACCAGGAACGCCCACGCUCUGACCUCAGCAUAAACAGCAGAAAUGAUCUCCGCAAGGUUUUGCAUCUUGAAUUUCUCUACAAGGAGAACAAGGCAAAGGAAAAUCCUCUAAAAACAAACCUUGAACUCAUCACCAGAUACUUUCUGGAUCACUUUGGAAAUCCUCCCAACAAUUUCACUCAAGAAACACCAAUCCCUGCACUCUCAAUUCCAAAGAAAAAUAACAAAUUAACAUCAAGGUGCUCAGAGACCAUGCUGGUAAAUAUAUAUGACCUUGCAGAUGAAGAUUCAGGAUGGAGAACAUCAUUGUCAGAAACAAGCAAAGCCAGGCACGACAAUCUUGAUGGGGAUUUGCUUGGUAAUUUUGUAUCCUCGAAAAGGCCCCCACACAAAAGUAAGCCUAUGCAAGUUAUCCCAGGUGAAAGCCCUGCUGUGGCCCCUGCAUGGGAGAAGAUGGACAAGCUUCCGUCGUCAGAGUCUUCCUUGGACACCAAGAGGGUGGGCGAGAAGAUCAGGUCCAAGUCUGGCCUGAUUGUCCGAGGCAUGAUGGCCGGUCCUAUCGCCAGUUCCCCGCAGGAUUCCGUCCGCAGACGCUCCCUGAAGCGGUCCCCGGCCUUGAGCAGCAGGACCCAGGCCCCCGACUCCGAGAGCCGGAAAGUGCCCGAGCUCUCUGCCCAUGCCCCAGCCUGUCCCACCACCCAGGACGGCCUGGCUUCCAGCCCUGGCUCCCCUCUCGGUGAGCUGACUGCAGAAAAGCAGAGAACCACACCUGGCAGCCCCCACCACUUGUCCUGCAAAGGGCUGCUGCGGAGGGGGAGCGGCAGAUGGCAAGAGCUUGAGGAAGAUGGCCCAGCUGUGGACAGUGGCCCAGAGGCCAACAGGACGCCGUUGAAAUUCUCCUUGCCAGAUGGAAGUGCCAGGAUGACCCAGGAGAGGCUGGAAAGAACAUUCACAAGGCAGGAGAGCCAGCCCCUGCCCCUCAGGAAAAACAAGUUGCCAGUGCCCAACAAAGCUGAUGGUGAGCUGGGUGUCCUGCAACUUGAGGAUGUGGAGGAUGAACUGACAAGGGAAGAAGUGAUCCUGUCUCCAGUCCCAACGAUGCUCAAGCUGCAAAUAGUGUCAAAGCCGAUGGACCUUUCAGUGGCCAAGGACAUAAAGACUCUUCUGUUCGGUUCCAGCUUUUGCUGUUUCAAUGAAGAAUGGAAACUUCAGAGUUUUUCCUUCAGUGACGAAGCGUCAUUAAAAUAUGGCAUCGUGCAGAACAAGGGGGGUCCCUGUGGGGUUCUGGCAGCUGUCCAAGGCUGUGUCCUACAAAAACUCCUAUUUGAAGGAGAUAGCAAAGCUGACGGUGUUCGGCAGCUGCAGCCUUCCAACGCCCACAGGACCCACUGCCUCGCCCUGGCCAUCGCAGACAUGGUGUGGCGGGCGGGGGGCCGAGAGAGAGCUGUGAUCACACUGGCUUCGGGAACACAGCACUUCAGUCCAACAGGGAAAUACAAAGCAGAUGGAGUCUUAGAAACACUCACACUGCACAGUUUGACCUGCUAUGAGGAGCUGGUGACUUUUCUUCAACAAAGUAUCCAUCAGUUUGAAGCAGGUCCCUACGGAUGCAUCCUGCUCACCCUGUCUGCCAUCCUGUCCAGGUCCACGGAGCUUGUCCGCCAAGACUUUGAUGUCCCCACCAGCCACCUGAUUGGAGCACAUGGAUACUGCACCCAGGAACUUGUCAAUCUGCUCCUGACCGGGAAAGCUGUGUCCAAUGUUUUCAACGACGUGGUUGAGCUGGAUUCUGGGAACGGGAACAUCACGCUACUCAAAGGCAUUGCUGCACGCAGCGACAUUGGAUUCUUAUCUCUCUUUGAGCACUACAAUGUGUGCCAGGUGGGCUGCUUCCUGAAGACGCCGAGGUUCCCCAUCUGGGUGGUGUGCAGUGAGAGCCACUUCAGCGUCCUCUUCAGCCUGCAGCUCGAGCUCCUGCGAGACUGGAGGGCCGAGAGGCUCUUCGACCUGUACUACUACGAUGGUCUGGCCAACCAGCAGGAGCAGAUCCGGCUGACCGUUGACACCACCCAGACUGUCCCUGAGGACAAAGACAAUGACCUCAUCCCGCCCCUUGAGCUCUGCAUCAGAACCAGGUGGAAGGGGGCGUCGGUGAACUGGAACGGCUCAGAGCCCAUCCUGUGACCCUUCCCGUUGGGUCCCGUGGAUGAUCCUCACCGGCCAGCGAGCUCUUCCGGGAGCCUGAACUUGCAGGAGGCAGUCAGGGUGCCAAGUCUAUUUGCAGGCCCCCUGACAUCUGUGAGGUUCAGCAAAGUCCUGCCUCCCUGUGGAAUGGAGCCCAUCUCCAUGAUAAGCACCCACUUCCUUGUGUCCUGCCUGGGUGUCCACUAUGUUGGCUCUUCUCCUGGGAGCUGGAUGGGAAGACGCAGGACCUGCGGUGGGUCUAACUCACUGAGACACAAGAAGUAUGACCACAUGGAACGCCGUGACACAGUGAGGCCAGCUGCACCCCCAGGGGAUGAAGAGGAGCGCAGAGGGCCUGAGAGUCCUGGGGUUGGCCUUCCUGAGAAGUGGCAACCCCCAGAAAAUGGGGCCUGUGUCCGUGCAUAAGCAACUCUCUAACCAUUCCCAUGAGCUGUCCUCGUGGGGACUGAGCCUGGCCUGGGCAGAGACAGGAUCACCAUAACAGGACCUGGGCUUCCUGAAUUCUAGACACUGUAUCCCCAAAUUCUCAGACCCUGGCUCUUCAGAGUCCCCAGUGAGGUUGGCCUGGAGGAGGAGGUGUGCAGGGAUGAAGCAGGGUGUGUGUGGCAGGGAGUCCUGCCUCCCUCAUGCUGCAAGCCCUUUCUGGUCCACCGUUUGCCCUACUGGCUGCUGCUCUGCUGAUGGGGCAGGGCGGUCACUGUGCUCAACAUGGGGGAAACCACUUCAGCCCAUGGCCUCAGUUUACUUUUGUCUUAAUGACCCAAAGGACCUCCUAUCCUAAUGGUCUAACACUCUGGGUGUUCAGAGGUACCCAACCCUUUGUGACAAGAGGGCCCUAGAGGGGUGGCACAGCCCUGUGAGUUGACCAGUGGAUACACCUGCAGAAAAUAGCACAAAGCAGGAGGUGUGUGUGCAUUGGGGUGAAACUGGUGGCACUGGGGGCUGGGGAGCCAGAGCCUGGCUGGGCGCAGGGGCCCGGGGCAGGGGGCCAUGUCAUCAUUUUCUCAUUAGGCAAGACAGCGAUCUGCCUGUGUGAGAUGAUCUUGCUGGCCCUGUGGGCUCCAGGAAUGUUGGCUUCACAUGAAUAGAAUCCCCAGAGCGGACCACAGAGGGAGGGGUCUCCAGUGGACGGGGAUAAGGGUGGGUACCUCCCACCUUCCUAGACUCACCCCUGCCAGCCCCAGACCACAGCAUCAUGGCAUCCUAGGAAGUCCAGAGUGAAAGAGGGUGGUCCCAGAGGUGA
Nyctereutes procyonoides (raccoon dog) is the source of this 3583-nucleotide RNA transcript. It is a transcript of the gene named MINDY lysine 48 deubiquitinase 4, with no coding region annotated. Lineage: Eukaryota; Metazoa; Chordata; Mammalia; Carnivora; Canidae. The record is from RefSeq and is a predicted model, not a curated record. The transcript is spliced from 23 exons.